CCCCUAGAUGUUCUGGGCCGCACGCGCGCUACACUGAACAGUUCAACAAGUCUUAACCUUGGCCGAUAGGUCUGGGUAAUCUUUGAACGCUGUUCGUGAUUGGGAUAGACUUUUGCAAUUUUUGGUCUUCAACGAGGAAUUCCUAGUAAACGCAAGUCAUCAACUUGCAUUGAUUACGUCCCUGCCCUUUGUACACACCGCCCGUCGCACCUACCGAUUGAAUGGUCCGGUGAAGCCUCCGGAUUGGCGCGCACCUCGGUGCCGCCGAGAAGUUGGCUAAACCUUACCAUUUAGAGGAAGGUGAANUCGUANCA
RNAcentral lists this ribosomal RNA (314 nucleotides) under uncultured eukaryote. RNAcentral describes it as "partial 18S ribosomal RNA". It matches the Rfam family "Eukaryotic small subunit ribosomal RNA", at positions 1470 to 1796 of the family's 1831-position model. The record is from RNAcentral.